Molecule: ribosomal RNA, 253 nt
Filed under: uncultured bacterium
Lineage: Bacteria
Description: partial 16S ribosomal RNA
Rfam family: Bacterial small subunit ribosomal RNA
Source: RNAcentral
UACGUAGGGGGCGAGCGUUGUCCGGAUUUAUUGGGCGUAAAGAGCGUGUAGGCGGCCAGGUAGGUCUGCUGUGAAAACUCGAGGCUCAACCUCGAGACGUCGGCGGAAACCAUCUGGCUAGAGUCCGGAAGAGGAGAGUGGAAUUCCCGGUGUAGCGGUGAAAUGCGCAGAUAUCGGGAAGAACACCCGUGGCGAAGGCGGCACUCUGGGACGGUACUGACGCUGAGACGCGAAAGCGUGGGGAGCGAACAGG